AUAUUUGCAUUUAAAGCCACGCCCUGCCGAGUGUUCUUCCCGCCUCUCCCGGGCCUGAGGGGGCCGCGCCCCGAUUGGCUGAGGCUCGCGGCCUCGCGCCUCACGGACCGCGUCCGUGUAACGGAAAGGGCGCGCGCCGGCUGCGCGAGGUUAGUGCGCGUUCUCCGCCGGCAGGAAGCGGAAGUGACGGUGCGGCGGGGCGCGCGCUGCGCCGCGAGAAGGCGGGCGGCGGUUGCUGUCGUUACCGACCCGCCUAGGGACGUGAGGGCGGCGUGCGGGGCUGGCGCCGGGCCCAGCGCCGGGGGUGGGAGCGGCUCGGAGUUUUGCAGGAUGAGCGCCGUCGCUGAAGAUGCUAAGCCAGAAGAUGCCAAACCAGAAUCUGAAAAAAAAAUAUAUUAUUGUGAAGUUUGUAAAGUUCCAUGUAUGAGUUCUAUAAGUCUUCAGUCACACUAUCGUGGUAUGAAGCAUAGAAAGAAAGAAGAAGCACUGAGAUUCAAGACAGUCUAUUUGAAGAGAGGACUCAUGAAGGAGAUAACAUGUCUGAAGGAUUUUAUAAAUGAUCCCAAAAGAGAAGAACCUCUAGUUGGUAUGUUUUUUCUGUUUUCUAAAUGCUGUCUUUGUAUUGUAUAUGUGUUUUGAAAUACAAGGUGAUAUUUUGAUAUUGUUUCAUUAUGUAAUCGAUGUUGGAUAAUUAAUGGGAUGUAUCUUACACAUUGUACCUUUAAAGUUCAGCUUGUUAUAUAGCUGCUGUAAAAGCCACCUCUUCUAUGCACCUUACUCGUUAGAUAAUUACUUCCUGAAGGAACCAUAUCAAUAAGGAUGCUUUUCACAGAACUCAAAAUGAUUGAGAUUGGAAAGACCAUCUGGAGCUCAUCUUGUCCAACUCCUCUGUUCAAGCGUGAUCACCAAGCAGGUUGAUUAAGACUGUGUCUAGGUAGCUUUAGAAUAUCUGCUAGGAGGUGGAGACUUCACAACUUCUGCUGAUAAGCUGUUCCAGUGCUCGGUCAUUCUCACAGUGAAAAAGUGUUUCUUUGUGUUCAGAAGCCAUCUCCUGUGCUUCAGUUUUAACCCAUUGCCUCUUGUUCUGUCACUGGGCACCACUGAAAGGAGACCGUAUCUAUCAUCUUUGCACCUUCCCUUCGUGUUUAUUUAUAUGCACUGAGGUUCCCACCUUCUCUAUUCCAAGCUGAGCACUCCUAGCUCUCUCAGCCUUUCCUCAUGUGAGAGGUAUUCACAUUCCUUCAUCAUCUCUGUAGCCCUUUGCAGAAUUCCUUCAAGUACGUCCCUCUUUAUUGUGCUAGAAAGCCCAAAACUAGUCACGGUACUCCACAUGCGGCAUUAUCAGUGCUUAGUGGAGACACCUCUCAUGGUGGCAACACUCUUCAUGCAGCCCAAAUUUACUUAUAAACUUUUUCAUGCUAGUUAUAAACAUCAGAUUUAGAGAUUUUU
This 1449-nucleotide long non-coding RNA is filed under the name Numida meleagris (helmeted guineafowl). RNAcentral's name for it is "lncRNA (ENSNMEG00000009357.1)". Lineage: Eukaryota; Metazoa; Chordata; Aves; Galliformes; Numididae. The record is from RNAcentral.